GUUACAAGUUAGGUUAUCGCGUUUGUUCUAGAACAAAUGAGGAAAGUCUGGACAGCAAAGAGCAGUACACCGGUGAAUAGCCGGAUAUUUGAUGGUAAAAAAUCAAAUAAUAGCAAGUGCCACAGAAAAUAACCGCUCAUGCAAAUGAGUAAGGGUGAAAAUGUGCGGUAAAAGCGCACGGUAAAUAUUGGUAACAUUAUUUACGGGUAAACCUUGUAUGCUGAAAUGCCAUGUAAACUGAGUAGAAGUAGCUCGCUUCGUAUUAAAAUCAGAGGGUAGGCAGAUGGACUACAACAGUAAUGUUGAUAGCAGAUAAAUGAUAACCCACGACAGAAUCCGGCUUAUAGACUUGUAACUUAU
RNAcentral lists this RNase P RNA (360 nucleotides) under Chitinophagaceae bacterium. RNAcentral's name for it is "RNase P RNA component class A". It matches the Rfam family "Bacterial RNase P class A". Rfam says of the family: Ribonuclease P (RNase P) is a ubiquitous endoribonuclease, found in archaea, bacteria and eukarya as well as chloroplasts and mitochondria. Its best characterised activity is the generation of mature 5'-ends of tRNAs by cleaving the 5'-leader elements of precursor-tRNAs. Lineage: Bacteria; Pseudomonadati; Bacteroidota; Chitinophagia; Chitinophagales; Chitinophagaceae. The record is from RNAcentral.